RNAcentral lists this ribosomal RNA (435 nucleotides) under Triticum aestivum (bread wheat). RNAcentral describes it as "partial small subunit ribosomal RNA". The record is from RNAcentral. Lineage: Eukaryota; Viridiplantae; Streptophyta; Magnoliopsida; Poales; Poaceae.
AUGCUUGUUAUGCCUAAUAUACUUAGUUUAACCUGUAUCUAUUUUAAUUCUAUUCUUUAUCCUACUAGUUUUUUCUUUGCCAAAUUACCCCCGCCGCCACCGUCCGAGUCCCGGCCGGGCACGCCUCCCGGGCCCCUUCUCCACGCCUCCCGAGGCCACCCCUCCCCCUAUAAAGCUGUCGCCCGGUCCCCCCUCUCUCUCCCGCAUCUCACCGCAUCUGAGCCGCCGCCGCCGCCUCGAAAGCCGCCGCCGCCACCGCCCGCCUUGCUCUCGGCCGCCGCCGACCCCCCCUCCAGACGCGCCUUACCGAGCCGCCCCUCCCCGUCUACUCCGCCGCCGCCGCAGACCACCGGAGUUGCCUCCCCGCUCAAAGCCGAGCCGCCGGCGCAGCAUCGCUCCGCCUUGCCGCUGCACUUUGCCGGAGUCCGUCGCUAA